UCAUAUAAUUCAACAACGUCAAAUAUUCCACAAAAAUAAAAAUAAAAAAGAAUCGAACAUGUGACAUCAUGACUGAGAUCUGAUGCGUGAAGUUUAGCUAUAAAAGGCCCCCAAAGAGCGAAGCCCCCUGAAAGAGGCACGCCUCUACAAGCUAGCUAAGACUAAGAGGCAGAGAUAUUACUAUUAGGUUUUAGAUCUGAUUACAUUCUUAUUUCCAUAUUUAUGCAGAAUCUCUUAUCUGCUCUUGCCCAAAGCCUUCUCUUAUAUAUUGCCGCGGCCUCUAAUUCGCUUGGUGCAGGUCGGGAACUUUCUUCGCCGCCGCCGCGCUCCAAUCACCAAUUGCGUGUUUGCGUGCUGCGGCAAUCCUCGAUUCCGACUCGGUGGAAAAAUCAAGUUCCCGCCUUGCAUCAACUGAAUCGGAGACUGAAGUGAAUGCCAUAAAUACGCCUCUUGUCGGAUUGAAUUGGAUUGGAUUUUUCAUGGAUCCACUCUCGAAUUGGUCUAGAUUUGCAUAAAUUUUCAUAAAUUUGUGAAUAAUUGAACGGAUUGAGAUGGAAAGUUGCAUAUCCUCUGAUCGUUUAUUUUUAUUUUUAGGGAUCUACCGUGAUUGGUCUGAUUGAUAGAUAUUGUUUCCGUUCUUAUGUUUGAUUUUAAAAGUGGUAUGGCUUGUGAAUUUCUUUUUUGAAUGGUAGAACGAGCGACCUCAAUUUAGGAUCCUACCUAGUUAGACUAGGGUAAGUUCUUAUUCCAGAAAGGGAAAGAGGUGUUUUUACGGUCUUUGCUUGUCUUUAUACCGGUUGGUUUUCCUAGUAAGUUGCUCUCUUUUCCCUCCUGAUACUGCUGCAAUCCUUUUACCUUAGGCAAAAUCUGGCAUCUGUUUUGCUUUUGUUAUGUGUAUUAACUGUACGUGCAUUCACUCAGAUUGAUUACAACUUUGCAAUUCUUUGUAAUAAGACUCGGUUGCUUGUUGAGUUGUUUUACCUUGCCGUUUUGGAUAUCUGAGGCUCUUGUUUUUAGGAGUAGAGUAUUAUCAUUUAGGGUUUCACCUCAAUAGAAAAAGGCAUCUUGGGUUUGUGAGAUCCUUUUGUGAAGUAGUUGUAUGCUUUGACUUGUCACUGAGAAAAUGGUGCACAUCAUUUCUUUGAUCCACCCAAUGCCAACUGUCUUCUGUUGACAUUUAAUGACUAGUGUUUCUCUUCAUAAAUGCAGUGACCAUCAGUUUGAAGAGGCUCUUGUAUAUCAGGGUAUGGACUUCAGGAAGAGAAUCUUUUGUGUGCAUGUAACAGAGAUCUGCAGUAUUGGCAUCUUAGAACUGCUUUGACUUGCAAUGAAUUAAGUGGCUGAAUUACAACAUGAUACUUGUAUUUUCAUUUAUGAUGUACAACUAUAUACAUUUUUAUUGAUUUUUAAUACAAGCUAGCCCUUUUCUUUU
This is a long non-coding RNA of Salvia miltiorrhiza (redroot sage), 1432 nucleotides long. RefSeq lists it as uncharacterized. Lineage: Eukaryota; Viridiplantae; Streptophyta; Magnoliopsida; Lamiales; Lamiaceae. The transcript has 2 exons. The record is from RefSeq and is a predicted model, not a curated record.